This 374-nucleotide long non-coding RNA is filed under the name Mytilus galloprovincialis (Mediterranean mussel). Lineage: Eukaryota; Metazoa; Mollusca; Bivalvia; Mytilida; Mytilidae. The record is from RNAcentral.
AGCAACAAGGGAAAGUAUAUCCAGCUACUCAGUGAAAAAAGGCAAGUUAUAAAUAUUUUAUGAAACAACGUAGCAGGAAACGCUUAUCCUGGCGGAAAAAACGGUCUCGUUGCAUUUGGAGUGAAAUAGUUCUCUCAGCAUGCUCAGUGGAUGUUUAAUACCUUGAUUCGUCUCUUCUCAUUCAAUGUUAGAGAUUUAAACAUCAGUUAACUACCUGAAGUUUUAUUUUGCCAUUGCACAUGCCAUGCUUGUGCCGUCUGUACCAUUAAUCCGUUGGAUAUUUGCUGAUUAGUGCUUAAGGCUUGGAGAAUAUGAUUCACCGAUUAGUUGUUAUUGGUUUGAACUAAUUUUCAGUAACCACAAGUAUUGAUCGG